CAACGUGGGUAACCUGCCUUAUAGUGGGGGAUAGCCUUUCGAAAGGAAGAUUAAUACCGCAUAAGAUUGUAGUAUCGCAUGAUAUAGCAAUUAAAGGAGCAAUUCGCUAUAAGAUGGACCCGCGUCGCAUUAGCUAGUUGGUGAGGUAAUGGCUCACCAAGGCGACGAUGCGUAGCCGACCUGAGAGGGUGAUCGGCCACAUUGGGACUGAGACACGGUCCAGACUCCUACGGGAGGCAGCAUG
RNAcentral lists this ribosomal RNA (244 nucleotides) under uncultured bacterium. RNAcentral describes it as "partial 16S ribosomal RNA". It matches the Rfam family "Bacterial small subunit ribosomal RNA", at positions 113 to 353 of the family's 1533-position model. The record is from RNAcentral.